RNAcentral lists this ribosomal RNA (453 nucleotides) under uncultured organism. RNAcentral describes it as "partial 16S ribosomal RNA". It matches the Rfam family "Bacterial small subunit ribosomal RNA", at positions 332 to 801 of the family's 1533-position model. The record is from RNAcentral.
UACACUCCUGCGGGAGGCAGCAGUGGGGAAUAUUGGACAAUGGGCGCAAGCCUGAUCCAGCCAUGCCGCGUGAGUGAUGAAGGCCCUAGGGUUGUAAAGCUCUUUCACCGGUGAAGAUAAUGACGGUAACCGGAGAAGAAGCCCCGGCUAACUUCGUGCCAGCAGCCGCGGUAAUACGAAGGGGGCUAGCGUUGUUCGGAUUUACUGGGCGUAAAGCGCACGUAGGCGGACUAUUAAGUCAGGGGUGGAAUCCCGGGGCUCAACCCCGGAACUGCCUUUGAUACUGGUAGUCUUGAGUUCGAGAGAGGUGAGUGGAAUUCCGAGUGUAGAGGUGAAAUUCGUAGAUAUUCGGAGGAACACCAGUGGCGAAGGCGGCUCACUGGCUCGAUACUGACGCUGAGGUGCGAAAGCGUGGGGAGCAAACAGGAUUAGAUACCCGAGUAGUCCCAUGAU